RNAcentral lists this transfer RNA (67 nucleotides) under Pentacheles validus. RNAcentral's name for it is "tRNA-Ile". The record is from RNAcentral. Lineage: Eukaryota; Metazoa; Arthropoda; Malacostraca; Decapoda; Polychelidae.
UUUAUGGUGCCUGACUAAAAGGAUAGCCUUGAUAGGGCUAAUUAUGUAAUUAUAAUUACCCAUAAAA